GAUGAACGCUAGCGGGAGGCUUAACACAUGCAAGUCGAGGGGCAGCAUAGGGUAGCAAUACUCUGAUGGCGACCGGCAAACGGGUGAGUAACGCGUAUGCAACCUACCCUGUACAGGGGGAUAACCCGGAGAAAUUCGGACUAAUAUCCCGUAAUAAUAUCCGGAGGCAUCUUUGGAUAUUUAAAGUUUCGACGGUACGGGAUGGGCAUGCGUAACAUUAGCUGGUUGGUAAGGUAACGGCUUACCAAGGCUAUGAUGUUUAGGGGUCCUGAGAGGGUGGUCCCCCACACUGGUACUGAGACACGGACCAGACUCCUACGGGAGGCAGCAGUGAGGAAUAUUGGUCAAUGGGCGCAAGCCUGAACCAGCCAUCCCGCGUGCAGGAAGACGGCCCUAUGGGUUGUAAACUGCUUUUCCAGGGAGAGAAACUUACGCACGUGUUGCGUGACUGACGGUACCUGGGAAUAAGCAUCGGCUAACUCCGUG
This 486-nucleotide ribosomal RNA is filed under the name uncultured bacterium. RNAcentral's name for it is "bacterial SSU rRNA". It matches the Rfam family "Bacterial small subunit ribosomal RNA", at positions 28 to 507 of the family's 1533-position model. The record is from RNAcentral.